Mercenaria mercenaria is the source of this 1804-nucleotide long non-coding RNA. RefSeq lists it as uncharacterized. Lineage: Eukaryota; Metazoa; Mollusca; Bivalvia; Venerida; Veneridae. The record is from RefSeq and is a predicted model, not a curated record. The transcript has 3 exons.
UGACCUUCAAACAUUUUUCCAGUUAUUUCACUUCCGCGUUGGGAUUUCCGGAGUUUUAGAACUUUCGACCGAAAAAAGGUGCGUCUUUUCGACAGUUUUCAUGUCUUCAUGAAUCAUAUUAAUAUAUUUUGUGUGAUUUUCAUUUUAAAGAUGGGAAACCAACUGCCGAGAAUCCUGAUCCGCAGCCAGCCUGUAUUCAUGACAAAUGCACGCCAGUCAGACGUCCUCCAAAAUUAAGGUCCUUGUCUGAGCCACCGAAGAAGAAAGCAAGAACAGCGUUAAUUGAAACUUUCAGAAAACAUAUGUCUGGACAUGCUGACAAUGACUGCAGAAAAUGAGUCGUUAAAACAACAAAUUGCCAAACUCAUUCUAGAAAACAUAGACCUUACAAGGAGAUGCACACCAAAAAGAAAUUCAGAAAAUGUGCAGGACACUAAGACACUUUUCAGUGCAGAGAAAUUUAGAGACAAUAAGAAAAAGGAUGAAUCUGUUUAUUACACAGGACUUAAUAAAGAGCAAUUUGCUACCCUGUUUCAAUUUCUUGUGCCUGCGAAGAAACCUUUCAAAAUGACAAGAAACAUAUCAAGUUUUGAGCAAGUGUCUAUGGAAGACCAGCUGCUGAUGUUACUUAUGACAUUAAGACAAAACUUUGACUUCAAUCACCUCGGAAAACUGUUUGGAAUUUCACAACAGGAUACCAGCACUCUCUUUACAAACUGGAUCCAGUUUAUGUUUUACAGGUGGGGUUCAGUUUCAAUAUGGCCACAUCGUGAUGUUAUUAUUGCUAUGAUGCCAGAUAAAUUCCGCGAAGAAUUUCCAAACACACUGAUAAUAAUUGAUGGAACUGAACUUAAAACUUUAAGUUUCCACUUUUCUCUAUUUUAAAAUUCAAAGACCAAGCUCUAUGACGAGGCUAAGUCAGUGUUAUUCUUAUUAUAAAUCUUGUAACACUUUGAAGGGUCUUGUUGGCAUUGAUCCACGAGGGUCUAUCAUUUUUGUAUUAGUUUCUAUGUUUUUCUGGGGCCAUCUCAGUUAAGGAAUUAACACAAUCAAAGUGGUUUCCUUACCUUGCUUGAAAAAGUUAUGGAGUGUGGCAAAAUUCAAGAAGGUGAUGCUGUUAUGGUUGACAAAGGAUUUCGAAUUAGAGAGGAGAUAGAAAAUCUGGGCCUUAAUCUUAAUAUCCCACCCUUUGCUUACACUGGUACACAGAUGACCUCGUCAGACAUAGCCUUAACGAAAAAUUGCUAGGCACAGGGUGCAUGUUGAACGUGCAAGUGCUCGGGUCAAAAGUUUCAAAAUUCUAUCUAAUAGAAUUGACUUGAGUUUUUUUAGUUGCUUUUUAAUUAAAUGAAAAUAAAAAACUUACAUUGUAAGAAAGUGCACUUCCAAUAACUUGCUGACCAAUUGGUGUUUCAACAUGUUAUGUAUCAGGGGUUGUCUCCUCUGUCAAAUAGGAAAUUGGACUUGCUGUUAGAUAUUUCAGACAAGCAAUCUGGUCAUUUGUUACCUGUACUUUUCUGCAAAGAAGAAAAGUCAUGCAAAUAUAACAAAAUAUUAAAAAGAUGUCUGAAAAUGCUUUGUGGAUACAGAGCUUUGAUCCAUACUGGCUGGUUUUAUCAUGAAGCAGCUCAAAUAUAUUUUUCUACUGUUUACGCUACUGUUUAUGGAAUCAGUUUAGUGCUAAAUGGAAUGCAUUUAUAGCAAUACUUUAAGAGUAUAUUUCUAGUAAAAUUAACUUGUAUAUGAUCUCACAGUUGUUGAUAUUGUAUGAUACAGUAACAAAUAAAAUAUUAUGAGACAUUUA